Engraulis encrasicolus (European anchovy) is the source of this 912-nucleotide long non-coding RNA. RefSeq lists it as uncharacterized. The record is from RefSeq and is a predicted model, not a curated record. Lineage: Eukaryota; Metazoa; Chordata; Actinopteri; Clupeiformes; Engraulidae. The transcript has 5 exons.
AUGUCAAUUACGGGCCGACGAAACAACACAAGCGGGACCUUUCAAAAGUACUGGAUGGAUUUCACUGCAGCUAUCACUCAAUUGACGACCAAUCAGUAUCAGGACCAAGACAGCACCAUGCCUCUCGAGCAGAACCUCCUACCCUGCUUGUCCAUCCUCAAUCUUCAUUCUUCCUACUGUGCACACCUUUCUAGAUACAGAGGCAGUUUUCAGAAGGAGGGUUGAUGUCACCACUAACAUUUUGCACACAGUGAUGUAAGAGAUUCUUCCUACUCAGAGUCGUAAUUGGGUUGAUGAUCUACAUGAUGGUGAUGAACCAGGACAGCUCCGGACCCCCUGUCAGGCAGCUCCAUCCUCAACCACACAUGUGCAGGUACAGAGGCAGUUUUCAGAAGGGUUGAUGUCACCGACAACAUUUUGUGAAGGAGAGUUCCACCUACGGUUCGACCUAUGACACCAGCAACUUUGGAUCUGAACCUGAUCAACCCAGCACCAACCACUGUGCCUCUCCUCCUCAGCCAACUGCACCACAUGACUCCACCAUAUCCAAAAGGUGCAGACACCUGCGAAGGAUAAGAAGAGCCGACCUCCCCACAUCUGCACUCGCCACUUUCUACAGGGGUGCCUUUGAGAGCAUCCUCAUCAGCAGCUUCUCUGUCUGGCAUGACAGCCAUCUAGCUGAAGACUACAAGGCGCUGCAUAGGGUGGUGAGGACGGCAGAAAAGAUCAUAAGAUCACCCCUACCAGCCAUUCAGGACCUGUACACUUCACACUGUUCCAAGAGGGCAGUCAACAUCAUCACAGAAACACCUCACCCACCACACAUUUAUUGUAUGAAUCAGUCUGUAUUUUUCACUGCUUGUGUGAGUGAAUGUGGCAAAGAAAGAGUUAGUUUACUCCAUGUUGUGUGUG